AUUGAACGCUGGCGGCAGGCCUAACACAUGCAAGUCGAACGGUAACAGGAAACAGCUUGCUGUUUCGCUGACGAGUGGCGGACGGGUGAGUAAUGUCUGGGAAACUGCCUGAUGGAGGGGGAUAACUACUGGGAACGGUAGCUAAUACCGCAUAACGUCGCAAGACCAAAGAGGGGGACCUUCGGGCCUCUUGCCAUCAGAUGCGCCCAGAUGGGAUUAGCUAGUAGGUGGGGUAACGGCUCACCUAGGCGACGAUCCCUAGCUGGUCUGAGAGGAUGACCAGCCACACUGGAACUGAGACACGGUCCGG
This 310-nucleotide ribosomal RNA is filed under the name uncultured bacterium. Its description in RNAcentral is "bacterial SSU rRNA". It matches the Rfam family "Bacterial small subunit ribosomal RNA", at positions 30 to 334 of the family's 1533-position model. The record is from RNAcentral.